GACGAACGCUGGCGGCGUGCUUAACACAUGCAAGUCGAACGGGAAGGCCCUGCUUUUGUGGGGUGCUCGAGUGGCGAACGGGUGAGUAACACGUGAGUAACCUGCCCUUGACUGUGGGAUAACUUCAUGAAACUGGGGCUAAUACCGGAUAGGAGCUCCUGCUGCAUGGUGGGGGUUGGAAAGUUUCGGCGGUUGGGGAUGGACUCGCGGCUUAUCAGCUUGUUGGUGGGGUAGUGGCUUACCAAGGCUUUGACGGGUAGCCGGCCUGAGAGGGUGACCGGCCACAUUGGGACUGAGAUACGGCCCAGACUCCUACGGGAGGCAGCAGUGGGGAAUAUUGCACAAUGGGCGGAAGCCUGAUGCAGAAACGCCGCGUGCGGGAUGACGGCCUUCGGGUUGUAAACCGCUUUCGCCUGUGACGAAGCGUGAGUGACGGUAAUGGGUAAAGAAGCACCGGCUAACUACGUG
RNAcentral lists this ribosomal RNA (468 nucleotides) under uncultured bacterium. RNAcentral describes it as "partial 16S ribosomal RNA". It matches the Rfam family "Bacterial small subunit ribosomal RNA", at positions 28 to 507 of the family's 1533-position model. The record is from RNAcentral.